Molecule: ribosomal RNA, 337 nt
Filed under: uncultured Clostridiaceae bacterium
Lineage: Bacteria; Bacillati; Bacillota; Clostridia; Eubacteriales; Clostridiaceae
Description: partial 16S ribosomal RNA
Source: RNAcentral
GGAGUCUGGGCCGUGUCUCAGUCCCAAUGUGGCCGUUCAACCUCUCAGUCCGGCUACUGAUCGUCGACUUGGUGAGCCGUUACCUCACCAACUAUCUAAUCAGACGCGAGGCCAUCUCUCAGCGGAUUGCUCCUUUGGCUUCCGUAUCAUGCGGUACAAAAGCGUUAUGCGGUAUUAGCGUUCGUUUCCAAACGUUAUCCCCCUCUGAGAGGCAGGUUCCUCACGCGUUACUCACCCAUCCGCCACUAACUUUCAUCCCCGAAGGGAAUCAGUCCGUUCGACUUGCAUGUGUUAGGCACGCCGCCAGCGUUCGUCCUGAGCCACUGAUCAAACUACU